Molecule: long non-coding RNA, 5073 nt
Organism: Dermacentor silvarum
Lineage: Eukaryota; Metazoa; Arthropoda; Arachnida; Ixodida; Ixodidae
Exons: 11
Source: RefSeq, a predicted model, not a curated record
GAUGGGUGAGUGCACGGACUCGUUAAAGCAAAUCCUCUCCGCGCCAACUCCUCGAGUAAUAGUGCAACAAAUAUUUACGUAAGAUUCAGAAAUGUUCAAAUGGCUGUGUCAAGUGUUAAGAGGCUACAGGCGUGGACAAAUGAUCACCGAUAGAGUCACACAGCAGCGGUCAAACACGCCCUGCAGUAUAAGGCGGGAGACACGAUCGGCGGGUACACGGUGCGCCAGGUUGAAGAAAUCAAAGAACUGCUCCUCGCUGCUGUUCGGCUUUUGGAGGGAAAAAACAGGCGCGGACUUUCUCCACAUCGCCCGUACGAUCGCACCCGCAGUAGGGAUGGAGGCUUGAGCAUACCGAUCCCAAGGACAAAUCUUCACCCAUUGUCAUCAAAGGAGUCGUAUACAAAGAAAUUAAAGGAGUCUGUGCAGCGGCUUCGUCCCGAGUUUCAUUUCCCGCGUUCUUCGCUGCUUCAAGGUUCAAGCAUGCAGGGUUGUGGAUUCUCCGGCUCCUGUCAAAGGAUUGCACGAGCCAGUACACUCGGCCAAGGACAUUAAGCAGAUGUGGUCGUUACUGUUUAAGAAGCAACAUCUUUUCCACAGGUUUCCAAGGCAGGGUGAGCUGAGAGAAGAGUGGGCCCUAGCCGUGUGCCGCUCACCUGCGUGGGCACCAUCACAAUGGAGCGUUGUUUGCUCGGAGCACUUCGGCCAUGGUGAUCUUGCGAGCGGUACCAAAGGCCAGGGUCACUUGAUGGUGAAUGCAGUACCAUCGCUUGCGGGCCCCACUAAGACGCUUGCAAAGGUUGAUGCUACAGCUAUGAGACAACCUUCAAGUGAAGCAGCUUGAUCCACGGGAACAUCACAGAAUCAAGAUGAGGCAGCAGGUCUCUCUGAAGCGACAACAGACAUGGACAUCUCCGAGGGCUCGUCAGAUGUGCUAGCAGAGGGUGCUGCUACAACUGCCAGCUCGUCCUUCGCUGAUUCAGACAUUGCUGAUGAGCCUUCCGAAAUCCAACAUGUCCUGUCUCCCAGUCGAAGGCCUACCAGCACGCUUGAGGGUGACGCUUCGGCAGCACUGCCUAUGCAUAGCCCAGCGACACCUCGAACAGCAAGGCAUACUACGCCACAGCCAGCAGAAGACUCGCCUGAAAAGGCCUUUCUGAGGCACAAAGUGAGGCUUUACUCGCAAUUGCAAAGUUGUGAUGGAAAAAAGUUUCAUGGAUAUGUUGACAUGGGCAUUGAUGUCAAUGAUGACAGCUUUCUUGUUGCCAAAGAUGCAUUUGUUUUAUUGCUUGUUGCAAUCAAUGGCAGAUGGAAGCUGCCGAUUGGCUACUUUCUAGUGAUGGCCUUGGCAGUGAGCGAGGCGCAAUUUGGUGCUGCAAGCUGCUGGCUUCGCUCACGAAAAAGGUGCACACAUUGUGAGUUUGACAUGCGAUGGCGCUGCAGCAAAUUUGUCAAUGCUGCGCAGCCUUGGCUGCAAGAUGGACCUGACUGAGCUGGAUGCUUCUUUUCCGCAUCCAGUGACAAAAAAGCCUGUCUUUGCCAUGUUGGGUCCCUGUCACAUGUUGAAGCUGCUGCGGAACACCGUGUGUGAUAACAAGGCUAUUGUUCAUACGAACGAACAGUUCAUAUUGUUGAAAUACAUUGAUGAGCUGCAUGAAAUUCAGUACACAGAAGGCCCACAUUUGGCAAACAAACUUAGACCAGGCACAUGUUAAUUUAAAAAAACCAGCCCAUAAAAGUCUCCUUGGCAGCUCAAAUCUUUAGUCAAUCGGUAGCAGAUGCUCUUGGUGAAUACAGAGCUCGAAAAAUCCCAAAAUUUUCAAAUUCCUUGCCAACAGAAGAGUAUCAUAUAUGUCAACAACGCAUUUGACAUUUUAAAUUCAAGACAUCCAAGGCAAGAAGGAUGGAAAAGGCCACUGUGUCCUGAAAAUGUGACUCGUGUCACUGAGUAUGUCAAGGAACUGAAGGCCUACUUUUGCUCACUCAGGUAGUCUGCAGCUGGUAAACUAAUGACAGAGACCAACCGAAAGACAGGCUUCAUUGGCUUUAUGGUGUGCUUAGACAAUGCCAUCCAUCUAUACAACCACUUGGUUACAGAAAAUGGCCUAUUGGCAUAUCUUCCGACCUCCAAGCUCAGUCAGGACCACCUCGAGCUAUUUUUUGCUGCAAUAAGAUCAUUUGGGCGCUGCAAUGACAACCGAACAGCAAAGCAGUUUGCAGUAGCAUUCAAGCGUCUGAUAGUCAGAGAAGCCCUGCAGCCAGUGAACCAGUCACGGAAGCAAUUUUACAAGAUCGUGGCUACUCUGCCGACCCAGGCAGGGUGUCUGAGCUUGGAGAUGCAAUUGUUGCGCACAUAGCCGGGUUUGUAGUUCGCAGCUUACUGCUUCACCUCCAGUGCGAUGAGUGUGCUUCUGCACUAAAGGUGUCAACUCCUCCAUCCAUGCCUGCAUAUUCCCUGAUUCGUCAAAAAUCGAGUGGUGGACUGAUCUACACUUCAAAUGAUGUUCUGAACAUUUGCAGACAAUGUGAGAAAGCUGCGUAGGGCUCUGGUGAGCUCGCCACUACCAUCCCAAAGGCUUGCAGCUAAAGUUGCAAUGGCCACUAUGACAACCUUUGUCGGCAAGGACUUCAUUAAAGUGUUAGAUCAGCACAUGCUUGAAAAUCACCCGCUUGAAUGCCACUCAUCCCAUCUUGUGAGGGCAAUCAUAGAUAAGUACCUAGAUGUGAGACUGCGCUACGUUGCCAAGAUGACAAUGGAAUGUCUCCAUCAGGAAAGAAUUGGGCAAAAGCUCACAAAGCUGAUGUAGUUCAAGGGCCAAUAAAUCUAGAAAGUCUUGCAAAUUUUUAUACUAUCAUUGGCCAAUUAUUUACAACUAUUCUAAAUUUUUUACGUCAAAGCGCAUGGCCUACAUGUUAGUUUAAAGGCUUCACAGGCAAACACCACACAGUGGUUAUCAACCAUGUUGUAUAUAUUGGAGGGUUAGGGGUAAAUCGGACCACUUGAGCUUUUUCAUUUGGCAGCCGAAUAGUAGACUGGUCUUUUUGAAUGUUGCCACAACAAUGUGUGGCCGCUAAGGUGAGGAUAGUGCCUGCAACCUUGUGCAGAGGAGCAGGAUCCCUUUUGCUCAAUUAAAUUUUUUUCGUUUAAUCAUCCACUGUUUAGGACCGACUGGUCUUGGUGAUAUCAUAAGCAGGGCACUGCUUAGAUCACUGAGAGUGCAAAAAGGAAUAGUAUUGAAUUAGAAUGGUUACAUUAUCGUGAACAUGACAGCAUAGUUCCACAAGCGAUGUGCCGCCAUGGCAGUCAGUUGACAUGGUGAACCAAGCUGGUGCCUUGUGUAGAGAAAUACAAACCUCGCAUUCAUGUUGGUCAUUUGCUUUGGCUGCACGCUGACAAAGCAUAGUUAGGGUGCAUGAACCUUUCCAACCUGUCAUUGGCAAGUAGCACUGUGGGUAGAAUACACCUGACUCAUCACGCAAUAAGUUAAAAUUCCGAAGCAAUACAUGGGCUCUAAGAGAUACCAUAGUGGCGGGCUCUGGAUUAAUUUUGACUGCCUGGAGGUUCCUCGGCAUGCAUCUAACUCAAGUACACAACCACAUUUGCAUUCUGCUCUCACAGGAAUGCAACUGCAUCUGGGAAUCAGACCCGCAACUUUGCACUCAUGAAGCACUAUUGCCACUGAGCCACCAUUACUUGUCUUAUUUAGCUGCUGUGACUCGCAGUACAGGAAAAACUGCUACACAAAUUUCCUCGCGGUUCAAUUAUGUUCAUGAUGGCUCACACAAUUAAUUCCUUUAUCUAUCAACUUCGGCAGUCCCACCAGGUUCUGUGUUAAGGCCUUUGUUUUUUUAGUAACUUUGUAAAGCGCAUAUAUUGUUCAAGAGAGUUGUAUGCAGACAUCAAACUUUUUUAGGGGAGAAAUAUGAUGCCUUAUUGUAUAUUGUGCAAGUACAUGCUUCUUGUCUUGCUGAAUGCUGUAGGUUGAAUCACCUGCUUGCAAAUUCUGCCUAAACAAUUGUUCUGUUCAGCAUCAAGCUAAACAGUAUGGACAAUGACAAUUGGUUAGCUGGCCUGCCUUUCACUAGAGCAAACUGUGCGAUGACAUGGGCAUGCUAUGAAUGCCCUCAAUGCAUUACGCGUGAGCUAAGUAUACUCUUGAGGAUGACAAUGUAUUUUUCAAAGUUUGAUCCUGUAUGCCUUUUACCUGACCUUUGUGGAAAUUUGCCUCCAUCACUUGGAAUACCGUUGGUUUUACUACUUUCAAAAUAAUUUAAUGUGCUCACUUUGUUUACUUGCUUUACAGUAGCCUUUUAUGAGGCCAGAUUCACUGUAACCAUGAACAUUUGGUGUAUACGACUCAAUGGGUGAUUUAAAUACCGUGAAAUAUUAAUUCAUUUGAGGUUCACAACGACAUGGAGCCGUCGCCUCUUAAUUUUGCGGUGUGUUGGCUGAGCUUCGACGGUUCUAAUUUUUUUGUAGUUAUGUGAUAAAACAUAAGCUUUGUAGUACAUUUUACUUGCAGCAAAAUUCAUUGUAUUUUAAUGUUGACAUACUUAGUUUGUGGCUCUCACCUCGCAUCAAUUUUUUCGUCUGACUUUGUGGACUACCAUUCUUUUUUUUCUCGAUUUCUGAAUAUUUAUUGCCUAUUUUUCUGACAUGCACCAUCACCAAACCCUUUCAAUCAUUGUGAGUACAUCGCAGAUAUAAAUAUUGUACAAUUAUAACCUUGUAGCGAAGAUAUUGCAUACAGGGCAUUUGUCAGCUAAACUGCAGCGACAUUCAAGGAUAGCUGAUCCCAUUGAAGAGUUUUAUUAAAGGUAUCAAUACUAUAUGUGAUAUAGUUUACUUUGUAUAACAUUAUUUUAUACAAAUGUCCUGUUGCAUACAAGUAUGAUGACUUAUACUGAUACCAUAGAGCUGAGGCACAAUAAGUUUUCCUACAUGUUCAUAAUCUUCUUUUGUGUAUACUCUGCAAUGUACUUCAUUUAUAUUAUAAAUGUGAAAUAUAAUAUAAUAUUAUAAAUUUGUGUGAAAUCGUUUGGCUUCUAUAGGUGCAAUAAACAUUGAAUAAAGAA